GCUCGAGUGGCGAACGGGUGAGUAACACGUGAGUAACCUGCCCUUGACUUUGGGAUAACUUCAGAAAACUGGGGCUAAUACCGGAUAGGAGCUCCUGCUGCAUGGUGGGGGUUGGAAAGUUUCGGCGGUUGGGGAUGGACUCGCGGCUUAUCAGCUUGUUGGUGGGGUAGUGGCUUACCAAGGCUUUGACGGGUAGCCGGCCUGAGAGGGUGACCGGCCACAUUGGGACUGAGAUACGGCCCAG
This 244-nucleotide ribosomal RNA is filed under the name uncultured Actinomycetales bacterium. Its description in RNAcentral is "partial 16S ribosomal RNA". It matches the Rfam family "Bacterial small subunit ribosomal RNA", at positions 89 to 334 of the family's 1533-position model. The record is from RNAcentral. Lineage: Bacteria; Bacillati; Actinomycetota; Actinomycetes; Actinomycetales.